AAUAGUGGUUAACAUCAUUGUUAAAAUUACGUCAUUUACAGCCCAUUUAAGAAUAGUGAAUGAAGACAACAUAGAAACAACAAACUUGACUGCAUUUCUUGCGUGGAAAAGAUGUCUUUUUCUAAAGUUGCUGUCACAAGAAGCCUAUUAUACAUAAUAACCGGUUUCUCUACUAUCAUCGGAAUAAAUGAAGCGUUUUAUUUGCAAUCAACCGAUAUUUUAAGUAUUCAACCCACAGAUAGUACCGUUCCAGAAGGAAACUCUAUUUCCUUUAUUUGCAAUUCAUGGAAAAAAAGGAAUCUAACGUGGCUUCUUCCAAACAACCGAAUAGUCAAAAAGCAUCAUGGCGGACGUAUUAAGCAAAUUUCAAAUCGGCUCACAAUUAAGAAUGCUAAGGUCACUGAUUCGGGCGUUUAUAUGUGUUUUCAAGAUGAAAGCACUUCAAACAUCAGCCUGAAAGUAUUUGUGAAACCAAGGUAUAGUUAUUACUUGGAAGAAUUGGCCAUGAUAGGUUUUAACUGUUGUUUAACUGCCAUAUUUAUUUUGUGUUGUGCCUUGAAGUUCGCUAGUUUUUACGAGAAGAAACACCAGAAAA
Molecule: long non-coding RNA, 595 nt
Organism: Octopus sinensis (East Asian common octopus)
Lineage: Eukaryota; Metazoa; Mollusca; Cephalopoda; Octopoda; Octopodidae
Exons: 2
Source: RefSeq, a predicted model, not a curated record